CGGACGGGUGAGUAACACGUGGAUAACCUACCUAUAAGACUGGGAUAACUUCGGGAAACCGGAGCUAAUACCGGAUAAUAUAUUGAACCGCAUGGUUCAAUAGUGAAAGACGGUUUUGCUGUCACUUAUAGAUGGAUCCGCGCCGCAUUAGCUAGUUGGUAAGGUAACGGCUUACCAAGGCAACGAUGCGUAGCCGACCUGAGAGGGUGAUCGUCCACACUGGAACUGAGACACGGUCCAG
RNAcentral lists this ribosomal RNA (241 nucleotides) under uncultured Staphylococcus sp. RNAcentral describes it as "partial 16S ribosomal RNA". It matches the Rfam family "Bacterial small subunit ribosomal RNA", at positions 99 to 334 of the family's 1533-position model. The record is from RNAcentral. Lineage: Bacteria; Bacillati; Bacillota; Bacilli; Caryophanales; Staphylococcaceae.